GACGAACGCUGGCGGCGUGCUUAACACAUGCAAGUCGAACGGAAAGGCCCUGCUUUUGUGGGGUGCUCGAGUGGCGAACGGGGGAGUAACACGUGAGUAACCUGCCCUUGACUGUGGGAUAACUUCAGGAAACUGGGGCUAAUACCGGAUAGGAGCUCCUGCUGCAUGGGGGGGGUUGGAAAGUUUCGGCGGUUGGGGAUGGACUCGCGGCUUAUCAGCUUGUUGGUGGGGUAGUGGCUUACCAAGGCUUUGACGGGUAGCCGGCCUGAGAGGGUGACCGGCCACAUUGGGACUGCGAUACGGCCCAGAAUCCUACGGGAGGCAGCAGUGGGGAAUAUUGCACAAUGGGCGGAAGCCUGAUGCAGCAACGCCGCGUGCGGGAUGACGGCCUUCGGGUUGUAAACCGCUUUCGCCUGUGACGAAGCGUGAGUGACGGUAAUGGGUAAAGAAGCACCGGCUAACUACGUG
This 468-nucleotide ribosomal RNA is filed under the name uncultured bacterium. Its description in RNAcentral is "partial 16S ribosomal RNA". It matches the Rfam family "Bacterial small subunit ribosomal RNA", at positions 28 to 507 of the family's 1533-position model. The record is from RNAcentral.